AUGUUCACAUCCCCAUCCAGCCUGAGCUUCAGGCAAAAAACCAAAAAAAAAAAAAAAGAGAGAAAGAUCAGUGUAUCAAAAAAGAACCAAACAAAGAGGGGUAAUAAGAACACAAAGGAAUUUCAAAUACUGAAAAGCGUAACAAAACAUUUUUUUUCUUUAGAUAAUUUAUCUAAUUCUUUUCUUCUUUCAUUUCUAUUGUCAUUUUGUAAAGAUUUCUUCUAUAAUAAGGCCUACACUAUUAAAAAUGAUAGUUCUGUGUCUUGCACAAGUCCACUGCCCUCAAACUACUCCCUGCCCAGGAUCUUCCUUGCCGCUCCUCAAUCUUUGCACAAAGUGAGUCGCACCAUGAGGUGUCGAGCUCCCACAACUGAUAGAGGAAAGCAGCCUGAUCAGCACCAGUGAAAAUGCUCUAUUUAUCUAAGGCCGAAAUUGCACCAAUCUCAACGUACCUGUGUUACAGUGAUGUCUUAAAGGAGUCCCUACACAUCUAGCCACAAACCCUUUUCAUUCCCUGCAUGGUCGUGAAGCACAACUCCAUUUUAGGUGACAACAGGGAUGGGAAUUAGUUCCCCUGAUGCCAGACGCCUUCAGUGCAGAUGUCUCUGGCUAAUCCCAUCACCUGGACUUCCCUUUCUAGUCAAUGGAAAGAAAAAAGUUGUUCCACUGAGAGGUCUUGAGGUGCUUCUCCUGGUGACCAUCCAAUGCUUUAGAAAGGUUGCCAUAGAUCCUCGGUCACAUUUCCCAGCACCACAUGGGAACACAGCUACACAGGGCAUCUCAGGCAGCAGUGGCCUCUAUAUGUGUCUAUAAGGGCCUGAAUGUAAAGUUCUCAUCAUUGGGUGAAAUCUAUGCAAAAAAUAGCUCUAUGCAAGAAUUGAAAAAUACCCUUUGUUUUUAGAACGUCAAAUACUUUUAUCAAUUGUAAUGAAUAUUUUCUUUCUUUUUGAUUGGCAGCACCAUAUGCAUGCACUACAGAAAUUACUCUAUGUGAGCUUAAAUGUUUAUAUAAAUGUACAGUUAAUCAACGCAAUACAUUUCCUACCAACACUCUGAACGGAGAAACCUUGUUCUGAGAAACUACUGUAUUCCAAUCGACCUGUCUCCUCUCUCUUCUUCUGCCUCUCUGUCCUCUCUUCCUCUGCCUACUCUGUCUUUACAGAGGCCUCAUGGCCCCUCUGCCCUCCGGGGAAGUCUCCUGUGGGAUCCUGCCAGGCACAUCCUGAAGGAGCUGAAAUCGACUCUCCUGCAGCCCUGGGCUGUGCUUCGCCUUUUUGUCUAACUUCUCCACCAUCUCAUGAUCGUUGCAGCCAUGGCUGUCCUCAGCCUUUACAUCCCCAUCUCGACCUGUUUCGCUUGUGACUGACAGAGUCCAGCCGUUGUUGGCUCAUUGAUUGCCUGUGCC
Molecule: long non-coding RNA, 1405 nt
Filed under: Apteryx haastii (Great spotted kiwi)
Lineage: Eukaryota; Metazoa; Chordata; Aves; Apterygiformes; Apterygidae
Description: lncRNA (ENSAHAG00000010722.1)
Source: RNAcentral